RNAcentral lists this ribosomal RNA (847 nucleotides) under uncultured bacterium. RNAcentral's name for it is "bacterial SSU rRNA". It matches the Rfam family "Bacterial small subunit ribosomal RNA", at positions 58 to 916 of the family's 1533-position model. The record is from RNAcentral.
CAAGUCAAGGGGGCCCGCAAGGGCAACCGGCGAACGGGUGCGUAACACGUGAGCAAGUUUCCGAUUUGUGGGGGAUAGCCGGCCCAACGGCCGGGUAAUACCGCAUACCUUCACCGGGUGGCAUCAUCUGGUGAGGAAACCUCCGGGGCAAAUCGAGGCGCUCGCGGCCUAUCAGCUAGUUGGCGGGGUAAUGGCCCACCAAGGCUAUGACGGGUAGCUGGUCUGAGAGGAUGGCCAGCCACAUUGGGACUGCGACACGGCCCAGACUCCUACGGGAGGCAGCAGUGGGGAAUAUUGCGCAAUGGACGAAAGUCUGACGCAGCGACGCCGCGUGUGGGAUGAAGCCUUUCGGGGCGUAAACCACUGUUGCCCGGGACGAACAUCCUCUUUCGAGAGGACUGACGGUACCGGGUGAGGAAGCACCGGCUAACUCUGUGCCAGCAGCCGCGGUAAUACAGAGGGUGCGAGCGUUGUCCGGAAUCACUGGGCGUAAAGGGCGCGUAGGUGGCUUGGUAAGCGUGUGGUGAAAGUCCGGGGCUCAACCCCGGAUCUGCCGUGCGAACUGCUAAGCUCGAGCGAUGUAGAGGCAGGUGGAAUUUCGGGUGUAGCGGUGGAAUGCGUAGAUAUCCGAAAGAACACCAGUGGCGAAGGCGGCCUGCUGGGCAUCAGCUGACACUGAGGCGCGACAGCGUGGGGAGCAAACAGGAUUAGAUACCCUGGUAGUCCACGCCGUAAACGAUGGGUACUAGGUGUCUGGGGGAGCGACCCCCUGGGUGCCGGCGCUAACGCAUGAAGUACCCCGCCUGGGGAGUACGACCGCAAGGUUGAAACUCAAAGGAAUUGACGG